UCCAAAUAUAGUCUGCUUGGCCACUGAGGAAGAGAGAUUUGUUGCUAGCAACAAGUACUUAGAACGUGUGUGAUUUGGCAUGUCUCGAACUGUGAAGUAGAUGCAAUGCAGGCAAAAAAUCGAUGAUGCUGUGGGGAGGGGCUGUGUAGGGUGUUAAUCGCCAUCUGCAGUGCCUGGAGGUGGGGUGGGGAGAAGUGAAGAAUCUCUUCCUUUUUAAUAGAUUUUCAAGAUGGGAAAAUCAUAUUGCAACCAGCAGGCAUUUGGAAACAAUUGUGCCGAAGGCAGAAAGUAUAUCUAGCGUUAAGCUGAAAAAACUGGACGCUCCUAGCAAACUCACUUUGCAGAUUUCUGGAUGUCAGAAGAAAACGCCAGAGGAUUUCACUCGGCUUUGACCCCUUACUGCUUCCAGCCACGUACCCUGGGCAGUAGAACAAAGGAACAGACGGCAGAGUCGCUUAAGAGGAGGCCCUGUUAGGAGUUCGAGGUGUGUGGCUCCUUCCUCUCUGAUAAGAACCAUCCCCCAGUCUCCAGACAAAUAGGUAUAAGUAUCUUUUCCUCAUCUAUCCCAGGCUUAUGGCUUAUAUCCCUAAACACAAGACAGAUUAACAAGGGUAAAGCCUACAUAUUUCUUUAAUAUAAAUUUUAUAUGACAUGGAAACUUCAAAAAUGAAGAUCCACCCCACCCCGCCCCAACGUAAACAGAGAAACCUGUGUAUUUUCACGCUCAGGGUUGAUGAAAGCGUGAUUGGACAAAGGGGAUAUGACGUCAUGGUAAUGAAUUGGGGGGGGAACUUAGCAAGGCCUGUUUGUUCAGAUUCUUCUUGGUGUUUCUGUGUCUUCCUUACUUUUCUCUGGGAGUAGGGAGGGCAUCCAUCACAUGAGGUCUUAUGACCUGCUACAAGGGAGAAGGGAGAAGGCAAGGUGAAAGUGGCCUUCCUGCUUCUGUUCUUUUCCAAAAUGCCAUGGUGCUAUAUUUUACUGUAUUAUUUAUUUAUUUUGAGAUGGAGUUUCACUCUUGUUGCCCAGGCAGGAGUGCAAUGGCAUGAUCUCGGCUCACCGCAACCUCCGCCUCCUGAGUUCAAGCGAUUCUCCUACCUCAACUCCCAGAGUGGCUGGGACUACAGGCAUUCACCACCACGCCAAGCCAAUUUUUUUUGUAUUUUUAGUAGACAUGAGGUUUCUCCAUGUUGGUCAGGCUGGUCUUGAACUCCCAACCUCAGGUGAUCUGCUCACUUUGGCCUCCCAAAGUGCUGGGAUUACAGGCAUGAACCACUGGCCCAGGGUGCUGUAUUUUAAGGUAGUGUGUCCUGAACCCCAUCAACCUAGGCCUGCCCAGGUUCACUAUGACCACAGGGGAUGGUCCACACAUGAAAUAAAGCCAGGUCCCAAGUACACAUGGGAGUUUCAUAAAAAGAAAUCCACCCUUAAUAUCACAUUAGGAAAAAAUAAGAUAGACAGAAUAUUUUCAAAUCUGAGCUGGCAUUCAGGUCUAGUCAGUUAGCAGAAAAAAAUUUUUUUUUUUUUUUUUUGAGAUGGAGUUUCGCUCUUGUUACCCAGGCUGGAGUGCAAUGGCGCGAUCUCGGCUCACCGCAACCUCCGCCUCCUGGGUUCAAGGCAAUUCUCCUGCCUCAGCCUCCUGAGUAGCUGGGAUUACAGGCACGCGCCACCAUGCCCAGCUAAUUUUUUGUAUUUUUAGUAGAGACAGGGUUUCACCAUAUUGACCAGGAUGGUCUCUAUCUCUUGACCUCGUGAUCCACCCGCCUCGGCCUCCCAAAGUGCUGGGAUUACAGGCGUAAGCCACUGCACCCGGUCACAGAAAAAAGUGUUUUUGAAGAAAUGUAAUCUAGUAGCAGUCAUUUAUAGACCUGCUGAAUACAGACAUUUAUCUACAAUUCAGUCAUACCGAAUCAGCUUCAGAUGGGGGUUCUAGAAUCCUACUGUUGUUAAUAUUUUAAUCUCCUUCUCUUUUUCCUCCUCACUCUUCUGCCCAAGGUCCUGAGUCUACUCUCCUGGUAUCCCAAAGGGAUGUGGUUAGGUUUAUUCUGCAGCUGAAGAAGCUCAUGCUUCAUAGCCUGUGGCUAACACAAGCCUCUUCUGAGCUCUGCACCUCCUUUUGUGUUUGAAUUUGUGAGUUCUACUCCUUCACAAUGACCUCCCAGUUAUUAAGCUCUAGACCCUACAAAACAUGACCCCUCCCCUUGGAGAUGACAGGUAUUGCUGGUCCCCGAGGGAAACCAUGGGUGUCUCCCUGCAGUCUUUUCUAUCCUCAGGGUGGAGCAUGUAUAAGGCAACCCUUCCUCAUGUUAAUAAUGAUGGAUUCCCACUGCAUAACUUGAACAUUUUGUGCUAAAAUACUCGCCACUUCCAGGAAUCAGAGGCCAAAGAAAGGGAAAGUCUCUGUAUCCCUGAGAUAGGGAUUUCACCUCUCAUUCAUAGAUAAGAAAAACGAUGCUCAAAGAGCUUGACAAGUCAUUUAUCUAAGAUGGUGCAGCUGGUAAGAGAUCCAGUCAGAAGUUGAACCCAGGUCCUAAACUCCAAAACCGGUGCUUCUUAUUUUAUCCUAUAUUCCUAAUUCAUCCGAGGCAACCAUUUGAAGAAAGAAAGAAUCUGGACCCUUCUUUUCAGAGUUAGUUAACUGAACCUUCAGUCGCUGAGUAACCUAACCCUAAGAGUGCCAGCAUUUUUAGUGAACACACAUAUGCGUUUUGGGGCUGCUUUCUCUUCUUUCCCUUUCUUUUACACCAAUGUGUGUUUCAGCAGGAAGGCAAUCCUUAUACUUCAGGUGCUGACAUGCUUACUCCACUUCAUACUUUUUGGCUCAAUUUUUAAAGAGGGCUUUAUGACUUGGAGCCAGAGCAAUCCUAACGUGUCUUUGUCACGAACAUGCUAAUAUUUGUGCUAAUGGCAGGGUGCAAAAUCCAGGAAGGCCAAUGACAUGGGGCUGAGAGGCAGGGCCUUCUUGUCACCCCUACAUGACAUAAGGGUUCCAACAAGGUGGGCUUCCAGGUGUUGAUCCAGUGCGGAGUGCAAUGCAGAGGUGACAAGGAAGGGACACUCUAUGAGUUUAUAGGAGCUGUCAUAACAAAGUAUCACCAACUGAGAAGCUUAAAAACCAGUAAUUUAUGGCCUCAUAGUUCUGGAAGCUGGAAAUCCAAGAUCAAGCCACGCUCCCUCUGAAGGCACCAGGGAAGGAUCUAGUGUUCCAGGCUUCCCUCCUAGUUUCUGGUAGUUCCUAGGCUUGUGGCAGCAUGAAUCCAACCUUCACAUGGUAUUUUUCCUCUGUGUGUCUGUGUCCAAACUUUUCCUUUUGUUUUCAUAUAGAGUCUCACACAUCGUCACCAAUGCUGGAAUGCAGUGGCAGGAUGUCAGCUCACCACAACUCCGCCUCCCGGUUUCAAGUGAUUCUCCUGCCUCAGCCUCCCGAGUAGCUGGAACUACAGGCACAUGCCGAGUGGCUGGAACUACAGGUACAUGUCACCACGCCCAGCUAAUUUUUUUUUUUUUUUUUUUUUGAGAUGGAGUUUCGCUCUUGUUACCCAGGCUGGAGUGCAAUGGUGCGAUCUCGGCUCACCGCAACCUGCACCUCCUGGGUUCAGGCAAUUCUCCUGCCUCAGCCUCCUGAGUAGCUGGGAUUACAGGCACGCGCCACCGUGCCCAGCUAAUUUUUAUAUUUUUGGUAGAGAUGGGGUUUUUCCAUGUUGUCCAGGAUGGUCUCAAACUCCUCACCUCAGGUGUUCCGUCUGCCUCAACGUCCCAAAGUGCUGGGAUUACAGGUGUAAGCUACCAUGCCCAGCCCCAAUUUUUUUCUUUAGAUAAGGAUACUCAGUCAUAUUGUAUCGGGGGCUCACCCUACUCCAGUAUUACCUCAUCUAAAUGAAUUAUUAUAUCUGCAACAACUGUAUUUCCAAAUAGAGUCACAUUUUGAGGCACUGGGGUUAGGAUUUCAAAACAUGAAUUUGGAUCAUGAGAACAUAAUUCAACCCAUCACAGACCACCCUCUGGAUCAUCCUCCUCACAUACAAAAUGGAUUCGCCCAAACCCAACACUCCUGAAAGUCUUGAUGUAUUCUAGUGUCGACUCAAAGUUCAGAACCUCAUUUAUAUAUCAUCUACAUGAGGUGUUCGUGACACUCAGUGUGAUUCAUUCUGGAGCAACAUUCUUCUCUAGCUGUGAGCCUAUGAAACCAGACAAGUUUACUUGCAAGACACAAAUGUUAGGACAGCUAUAGGCCAGACAUGCCCAUUCCAAAAGGGAGAAAUCAGAAAGGAAAGGCGGCUCCAAAGUUCCGAGGAGAUUCAAAACCUGGCAGGAUAAAUUCCAUUGGAUUUUAAGCUGUGUGAAUAAUGAUCUUUGGCUUGACGCUCUGUCCUCUGAGCUCAUUUAAAUUAUGCAAAAAAAAAUUAAUUUGCUCAAAGUCUACUGAUUUUAAGUAUUAAUCACAUUUAAAAAAACACCUUCACAGCAACAUGUAGACUGGUGCUUGACCAAGUAAAUGACGCAAUAGCCGAGUCCGGUUAACACAUAAAAUUAACCAUUGCAAAUACUUCUUGAGAAAUUACCAAAAUAUGUCCAAGAUGGGGGAAAGCCAGGAAUAAGCUCUUAGGAGAGAAGGUAAAGACGUAUUUUGGCUGCUUGUCUUGGACUAUGUACCCGAGAGGUGGGACUCAGAGCAAUCAUCAACUGAAGAUUGUACAAAGCAUAGUUUUAAUCUGUCACAAUGGCUUAGAUCAGAGGAAUGCACAGGAAGAACUUUGUGCUUUUGGUCAUGAUAGAGCCAGAGAAUUUUCUUUAUCAUCUAGGGUGGGAAGCAGAUGAGGUGACUAGAAAGUCAAGUGAAAAUAGCAUCAGGAGUAGCCUGAGGGGUACCAGAAUAUGCCACCCCCAGAUACGCCUCUUUGGCAUAUGGAUUAUUUUGAGCUCGAGGCCAUUGGAACCAGCAGACUCAGGAAAAGCUCUAAAACCAGGGCACGUGGUUUCCCUUAAUAAAGGAAAUUCAGAUUUGUAGAGAUAUCUCCCUCUUCUAUACCAGGAAAAGGAGUACUCUUAACAACUUGUCAAUGAAGAAGGUACUGAUUUAAAUCUACAUAACAAAACUCACUAAACAACUCUUGCCUACCGUACUCUUUCUGGUCACCAUCCCAUAACUUGCCUCUCCCACUCAGAACCCUUUUCCUGUGUUUGUGUUAAGGUGAUAUAUAAGCCCAAGUUCUAACCACUCCUUUGGGUUACUCACCUCCGGGUACUUCCAUGUGUAAUCAGGAUGCACAUGUUAAUAAACUGCUGCUUCCUUUUCUCUUGCUAAUCUGUCUUUUGUCAGUCCAAUAUAUAGGGCCCCAGCUGGAGAAUCUAGAAGAGUAGCAGAAAAAAUAAUGUUUUUUCCUCCCUUGUAAGCUCUAAAAGACAACUGUCUGAUCUAGGGCUGGGUGUACUAGGAGGGAGAAAGCCCCUCAUGACCUCCUGAACGUGCCUCACCAGACCAAUAGUGUAUUGUAUUUUAUUUGACUCUCUAUGUAUGUAUGUAUGUAUGUAUGUAUGUAUGUAUGUAUGUAUCUAUCUAUCUAUCUAUCUAUCUAUCUAUCUAUCUAUCUUUCUAACUAUCAGACUUCAAGUGCCAUGUGUUGGUCUUUUGCAAGGAUACCUCCUGAGCAAGCAGCACAGGACCUUAUGCCUAGCAAGUAUUCAAGUAAGAGCUAUUGAAUGAAAAUGUCAGCAGACUGCGCCCAGCUUCCUAAAGCUCAGUGGUGUGUGUGUGUGUGUAUUUUUGAGACAGUCUCACUCUGUCAUCCAGGCUGAGGUGCAGUGGCAUGGUCACUACUUAUUGUGGCCUCAAUAUCCUGGGCUCAAGUGAUCCUCCCACCUCAGUCUCCUGAGUAACUGGGACUACAGGCUGAUUUUUUUUUUUUUUUUUAAUUUUUAGUAGAGAUGGGGUCUCACUAUAUUCCCCAAGCUAGUCUCAAACUCCUGAGCCCAAGUGAUCUUCCAGUCUCGGCCUAAUCCAAGUGCUGAGAUUACAGGAGUGAGCUAGUGUGCUGGUCAACAACAACAUUUUAUAGCAGGGUGAGGAAGAUACAAUUUAGUUUGUGGAGCGCAGUGAACCUAUCUCAAAGCCGUGUUUGCCAACACAGCGCACUCUUUCCCUAGGUCAUGCGGCUGUUUGCACAAGGUGGAUAGCUGAAAAGAGGGAGAUAUUAAAGCACUCCCAGCCACCCCUUGGCUGCCAGAAAAGCCUGGUGGUUGUGUGAUCCUACAUUAAGAUAAAGUGAGUCGGAGGAUGCCAGCCGGCUUUCUUCUAUUCUCAGUCUGUAACCAGAGAUCCUAAUCUUGACGUAAAGUGGAGAUUCACUUCUGGACAUGCUUCAUUCUAAAGGCAUGCAGUGAGGAGAAAGGAAGGAGCACAUUUUGAGGAGGAGGGCGGCCUUUGAGAGAAAUUCCUUCCAGUAGGGUGAGGGCAGUAGCAUGUUACCCUCUUACAUCCUCCUGGAAGCCUCCUGUUUGUCGGUCUGUCUAGGGCCCAUCUUGUGAGCACUGAAGGGAAAGACAUAGGGCAUGCAGCUGGGGUUUGUGAUGAUAUUUCGGCACCCACGCACUGCACAACACAUACGACACGUGAUAUUCCUUUCCCUGGUAUUGCUAACUUGCAAUCUCCGUGGCUCAGGGGCCUCUUGCCUUUGAAUAAGACUUGGGAGAGAAGCAGACGGCAAUCGGCAAUCGAGCCUCUAGCUUUCCAUUGACAAGGAGGCAGCUCCAAACUGGGAUUACUGAUUUCUAUUUCAAAACUGCGUUCAAUUUAGUUGAUUUAAACGACUUGACUUUCCUCUGUGAAAUGACGGCGGCACGUGAGCUCAGCCAGUCGCUCUGUGAAAGGCAUCAACACGCUCCCUGCAGGGACCGAUGGAGCUCCGCCGCCCAUUGUUUAUCUAAAAACAGCGUUUUAUUAUUGUCGCUCAAUUAGUCCAGACAGCGGACACAAAUGACUUUCAACAGCUACAUCCUGAUGCUGUGUAUCACACAUAAAAUGCCAAAGACUGCUCUAAUAGCUAGCUAAUAAAAUCAAAAUGUGCCUUUGUCGACUCGAUGAUUACUCACAUCGUCACUCUUUCUUCUGAAAUCUCUUCUUAAUCUAAUUACAGACAAUAUUUCCACUUUAGUAAAAGAACAUUAACCUCAGUAAUCAACAAUUCUGUCCUCAAUUUAUUUAUGAGCAAGCAAUCAAGGUUUUUCUGAACGUAAACUUUGGAGGAGUGUUUAUUUUCUAUAUACAAACUAGCAUAUUUUUUUCCUCUCAGGUCAAAAUAUUAUUUCCUAUAGGGUUUUUCCCUUCAAGCUUUUCUUCUUCCUAAAAAUUGCACAAUCUGUCAUUUCAUAGGCACCCAUGAAAAGCCAUUCAUAAGUUUCUCCCUGUUUAUAUUAACUGCUGUGAAAACGCUAUUAUACGCAAAUAUUUCAACUGUUUGGCAAACAUGCUUUCAUACACGCACAUUCACCGCAGAGACAGCUGCCUGAAAUAGGAAAGGCCCUUUGAAAAAGAAGUGAAGGCUGGGCACAGUGGCUCACUCCUACAAUCCCAGCACUUUGGGAGGCCAAGGCAGAUGGAUCACGAGGUCAAGAGACCAAGACUAUCCUGGUCAACAUGGUGAAACCCCGUCUUUACUAAAAAUAUAAAAAUUAGCUGGGCGUGGUGGCACACCCUGUAGUCCCAGCUACUCAGGAGGCUGAGGCCGGAGAAUUGCUUGAAACUGGGAAGCAGAGGUUGCAGUGAGCUGAGAUUGCGCCACUGCACUCCAGCCUGGGUAACAAGAGCGAAACUCCAUCUCAAAAAAAAGAAAUCAAAUGCAUUGAGCCACUCAACAUUUGCCAUUUUUCAAUUCCGACUUGGAAGCCUGGAUGACUUUAACAUAUAGAAAUUACAUUUGCCAGUGAUUGCACUAGAACGUUGUUCUUUGAACAGAAAGACCCUGACAGCCGAUUUAUACCUCUAAUUUAGAGAAUGAAGAAGUUGAGGAUCAAGAGAAGUGAAGAGAUUUAGCUCAGGUUGAGCAACUGCAUGAGUGGCCAGUGAGGGACUGGGACCCAGCUGUUCUGAGAGCUCCUUGGAUAGGUGUGUGAGGGAAACACAAAAUACAGAAACUGUAGUAGUAAAGACUCCUCCUUACCUGUGUCAUGAGACCCAGUUCUGCAGUGAGUGUUUAGUUGUUUAGCUGGAUUGAAGCUGCCUUUUGUGGCUGGCCACCACCUCCCACCCCGUUACCUUCAUCUUAAAACACACACGUGUGCUCUUGGGUCAUAUAACAUUUCUCAAGUUUUCAUUUGAGUUUAAGGUUGGACUACAUCCAGGCUAAACAUAAAGGAAACCUCAAGGCCAGCCCUCCCCUCCACAUGGCCCCUGCCAAGUUCCCUCUGGUUUUAGCAUAGAUGGGGAACCAACAUGACCUCAUGGCUCAAGACUCCAACCCCGGACAGGCUUGGUCUCGCCUCCUCUCUGCACUCUACUUGGGGUGAGAAGAAAGGGGGUGAUGCUGGCAGUGUGAGAGGAAUUCCUCCUUUUACCCAUAAGCAGAGAAAUUACAUUAAGUCAGGACUGAAGGCCAAAGUCAAGGAACCUGUGAGGGCAGAAUGAAUGGACGUGCAGUUGGGAGGCCAGAGCUCUGUCCUCCUGAGCCCACUUCUUGCCUGUUACCUUGGACUGAGCAUCCAGCAUUUUAUCAGGAGAACCAGAAGCAGGAGGUCGUGACCAAAGAAGGGCCUAAGAGUCAAGCAACCUUACCUCUGGUCCACAGCAAAACGCAUCUGCCACUUAACCAGCUCUAAGCCAUUUGGGCACAAUUCUUUUUUUAACUAAUUAAUUAAUUUUAGAGAUAGAGUUCUGCUCUGACACCCAGGCUGGAGUGCAGUGGUGUGGCCAAAACUCACUAUAGCCUGGAACUCCUGGGCUCAAGUGACCAUCCCUUCUCAGCCCCUCGAAUAGCUAGGACCACAGGCACAUGUCACCAUGCCUGGCUAACUUUUAAAAUCUUUUUGUAGAAACAGGGCUUACUAUAUCGUCCAGGUUGGUCUUGAACUCCUGGCCUCAAGCCAUUCUUCCACCUUGGCCUUUCAAAGUGCUGGGAACACGGGUGUGAGCCACAGCACCUGGCCACAGUCACAUCCCACAAUUUUCUUCUAAUUAUGUCAUCUUUCCUCUUGGUGAAAUGGACCACUCUUUGAAAAGCACAAAAUGUCCUGCCAAUGCAAAUCCUUACUUGCCCCACUCUCUUAUUUUCAUGGAACGGUGAUAAGUGCAAAGAAGAAGUAAGAAGUGUCUAAUGUCUGCAAGUGAGUUAAAAAAGAGUACUUUGGCAAGAACACAGGGUUAUUUUAUUAGCUAUUACUCGGGGAUCAUAUGCCCUGUGUAUGCCUUUAAAAGAAUACUGUUUUUUUUUUUUUUUUAAUCAUGCUGUUAUCCUUCUGGCCCUCAAAUUCUUUCAGGUUGGUGGCAGUUAGUCAGUUUCUCUUCCUUCGCUGCCUGCCCUCACAAGGUGAAAUACCAUCCCCAAUUGGGGGCUGCCAUCUAGCUAGCUGCUUGGCUAGAUGACGGGCUUCCUUUAUUUCCACUGGCUAACGUCUCAACAGUACUGUGCUCUGGCUUUUAAUACCUUCCGCAGGAAGCCACAAGAAUGACCCUCAAAACGCGCGGGUCUUUCUGGAACUCUUCACCUUGAAUUUUUAAGCCUUCACCCUCUCUUAAGUUCUGGCCUCUCUUGCCUUCUGAAACCACAAGGCAGUUAGAGAUUCUAAUCUCCCAACAGAAGUCACUUUGGCAUCCACAGUCAGAUGUCACCUGGGGUCACAGUCGCCUGUAUGCGGUGGAAAGUUCUAAGCAGUUGCAGUUGCUUUUGUGAUAUGCCAGUUGACUUGAAGACAGAAGUCCAAAACCCAACAGGAAGAUGGAAUGACUGGGAAGUAGGGGAAAAAACAGAAAAGCACAGUGGUGCUCUCCUGCGAAUGCAGCAUCUGUCCCACCUCCACGCAGUCAAGCAAAGCAGAGGGCAUGUGAACCGAAAAAUUUAAGGUUCAGGUGUGCCCAAGCAGCAGCUGUAUCUGUUUAUCAGAGGGUUGCCCUCGAUCCAGAGAUAUUUUGAUAAUGCAGUAAUGAAGAUUGGCUUCCUUCUAGAAAUGACAGUCCUUAACCAGUGAAUGACAGAGUCUGAUAAUUCUGGGAAGAGGCCUGUAGAUUGUCACCUGGGGAGUCCAGCAGAAAACCAAUCCUGCAACUCCAGAAAGCUGGACAGGCGCUUCAAAAAGCCCACUUUUUCCUAUACUGGGAGUGGUCAGCUCUCUCCUUCCUCCAGGCCCUUGGAGCCUUGGGACUGUCUCCUAUUGCUCUGCAGAGUGGGCUGUGUUGGACACAGUGCAAAGAGUAAAAUCAAUGACGCAAAUGGGGAGAACUGCAGUGACUCAAGCUUCUCUUGCCUUCUCCUUACAUAAACUUCAAGAGCAUCUAGUUCAGGAGAAGCAUCCACAUUUCAUUCAACAUGACACGCUCCCUAGGAAACUUUCCACAGUGCCCACAUCACUAGAGGCUGGACUUGCUGUGAUCACCAUGGCUCUUGGGCCAACCCUGGAAACAUUCCAAAGACACAAGCUUGGCAAGAAGCCUAAAGAGAAAUACCCAGAAGUCCUAUGGGUUAUUGAAUCUCAAUGUGCACUUCUCAGACAAGGACUUGUAGGAAGGCAGACACGACAGGAAAGGAGGUCUCAGGAAAGCUCUCUGAGUCCCAAUUCCUAGUCUUAGCUUCCCCUGCUGAGGGUACUGAUCGAUUUGGAAUGGUGGACUGGGACCUGGAAUUUCAUGUACAGUUCACUUUCUACAAAGGGUGCUUCUCCAGCUUUGUGAAGGAAAGGAGAAGCUAUGCGAGAAGGAAAGAGAUGGAAGUGGCAAGAGGAAAGGAGGGGCAGUCAGCAGCAAGAUACGCAUUGUCACGUCACGACUUGAUUCAAGUUUUGCUGGACAGACGCUUCAGGGCCUUGCUUUUGCCCUCAACCCACAGAUCCGAGGGCGGCCUAGUGAGGCACAGCUCCCCUCUCCCCCCACCACAGGAGUGUUUGGGUUGGAGGAGGAGGUGUUAAAUUCCAGCCUCAGCACAAAUCUUGAAGACUGCCAAUCCAGGUGUGGCAAACAACAAAAUGUGCUUUUGCUUUCCUUUGCUCUUUCCUUUCUUGCCAAUCAAGAGUGAAUGGAUUCUGAGCUUUUGCCGGUACUUAAAUUAAUUUUUGAUGAGAAAAUAAAGUUGAGGGUGGGGAGUGGGAGUUAAAAUUACAGCCUGCUCUAUGAAGGCAGAGUAAUUUCUGGAAGGUCAUAGCUGCUACUGGUGAGCGUGGCCUGGAGUUAGGAACAAUGUACUUGCUGUUUCAGGAGCAAAUCCAGGCUGGAGAAGGCUCUCUCUGCAUAACUCAGGGUUGGAUUUAGCUCUGCAUUCAUGCAGACCUCUCUGACCAUUGAUGGAUGAGCUAGCGCUGUAUGAGCAUCGGCCUGUCGCUGACCCACACUUUAUUCUUUAGUCCUGAGGUCACAGCAUUUCCAUGUGGACUUAUGAUUCCAGUGAGACAGGGAGAGUAGGGGAAGAAGCUGGCAUGGGCCCUUGGCUCUUUUAUUACCUAGGACAGUGCUUGGAAUGCCAUAGGUGCUCAUCGUGCGCAUGUUGAGAAAAGAACUUACCAAUGCAGCCCUAUUCUCUAUAGUUGUUCACUGAGGAGACAAAAGCAAGAUACAGGGGGUGCUAUUCAAUGAGAGAAACAUACAAGGAUCUCCUUUUUUUUUUUUUUGGAAAUGAAGUUUCUCUCGUCGCCCAGGCUGGAGCGCAGUGGUGCGAUCUCAGCUCACUGCACCCUCUAUCUCCCAGGUUCAAGCGAUUCUCUUGCUUCAGCCUCCCAAGUAGCCAGGAUUACGGGUGCCUGCCACCAUGCCCAGCCGAUCCUUUUGUACUUUUAGUAGAGAUAGGGUUUCACCAUGUUGGCCAGGCUGGUCUCAAACUCUUGACCUCAGGUGAUCUGCCAAAGUGCUAGGGUUACAGGAGUGAGCCACCGGGCCCAGCCCACAAAAAUCUGCUUUAUUUCUCUCUUUCUAAACCUAAACAUUAGAUAUGCCAUUGAGCUUUGUGAGAAAGGGAAUGAAAGAAGCAUUACUUGAAGUGAGUAAUCCAUGCUUUCUUGCCUCUACUUUAGGGGCAAGGAACCACUUUGGUGUUGUGCAUGAGAACGGGGACCCUGCGGGCAGAUGGCUUUGGAUCAUCGUCCUCCCUCCAUUACUUUGUAGCCAUCAGACCUAGGGCAAGUUACUUCGCCUCUCUAUGCCUUGGCUCUUCGUUUCUAAACUGAUAACAUUAACAGAGCCUAUGUCCUAGGAUUGCUGUGACAAUUACAUAUAAAUGAGUCAACAUAUGUGUAGCAUGCAGAACAAUGCCAGGCACACAGCAAGUGCUAUUUAUGUUCUUCUUUCCUCCUCCUCCUCUUCCUCCUCCUUCUCUUACUUUGUACCAGACCCUUUAUAUAGAUUGUCUUAUUCCGCAUACAAUAGCCCUGUAAUGUAAACCCUAUUUUAUUUAUUUUGAGAUUUAGGGAACUGACUCUACACCACAUUAAGUAAUUUGUUUAAGGUCUCGCAUCUAGUGAGUGUUGGAUACUGUGUUGGAGCUUCAGUCUGUCUGACUUCAAGGCCUCUGCUCCUUGCAGAGGUUUGACAUGUUCCCUGCUUGCCAUCGUGGUGGCGUUCUCUCAACCACCAAAGCUCACGGAAACAUGCCACUCAGAUCAGCUUCCACCGGAUGCUGACAGAGGAGCAAUUAUACCUCUGCCAAAGAAAGUUCUCAGCGCCAGUAAGGGUUCUGGCUACUGUGGUAUACUUAAAGGAAAUGAAUUUAGGAAGUUUUAAUUAAGAUUUCAAGGACGAGAAGAGGAAAAUGUGAAGGAGAUGGAAUAAAUAUUCUUCUACUUUGAUUGGUAAGGCCAAAAUUCCCUUUUGCUAUCUCAUGAAGAUUGAGGUCCUGGGAUUCAGGAAUAGGAUGCUUUGUUAUUUGGUAUUAAAAAGCAGUAGAGCUCCAAAUAUAUGCAAUCAAUCCCUCCCAUCUUUAGGGAAACCUAAAUCUAAGCUGCCUGGUAUAGAGAGCCACUUGUCCUGUGAGAAAAGCCACUUUUCUAAGAUUUAACAGAGAAUAGGAGCAGGAAAGAGAAAGACUAGUGUAAGGCAGUUGCUAGAAGAACAGAAUUGCUUUACAGUUCUGACUUCAUAACCUCGUUUUCCUGACCCGAUAAUUCUGAGAUUAACUUCUCUGGGUGUAUCUAGAAACUAUUGCUUCUGUGAGGUGGUCACCAGACCAGGUGACCUUUUAAGUUUAAUGUAUUAGAGCCAGCUGGGUCUUUGAGCCAGUCUAAGGAGGCUUGUGAAUAUUUGCAAGCCUUGUUUCUCUGCCUGGUGGCUUUUCAGUGCUACCUAAGCAUCUAUACAGCUAUUGUGUCUGACCUGCUCUGGGGACUGAAACAUAUGGUUGGAAGAGGAGGCAGUGGUUUUUUUUUUCUCCAGUAGAUUUCUAAAACCUUUAAAUGAAGUAUUGCUCAUAUAGAGAAAAGCACAUAGAUCAUAAGUAUAUAGUCCAAUGAGCUGUCACAAAAUGAAUGUACCUGGGUAAGUGCCACUCAGGUUAAAGAAUAGAGCAUUAUCAGCACCCAAGAAAUCCACUAAUAUUCCCUCCAAUUUAUCAUGCUCUUCCUUCUCUCCAAAGGUUACCACUGUCCUGACUUACAAUGCCAUAGGUUAGCUCUAUUUGUAUUUGGGCCACAUAUAAUUAGAAUCACAUGUUAUAUAUUCUUUUAGGUCUGGCUACUUUCACUUACUGUUAUAUUUAAAAGUUUUAUUAGAUUUGCAUGUAAUAGGAGUUCAUGUAUUUUCAUAGCUGAAUGAUUUUCCAUUCUGUGAAUAUACUGUGAGUUAUUUACCCAUUCAAUUGUCCAUUUAAUGGAUAUCUGGGUUGUUUAAAAUGUGAGGUUAUUAUUAAUAAUGCCACCAUAAGCAUUCUUAUACAUGUCUUUUGUGUACUUUUCUGUGGGAGUACAGACCUGCAAGUGGAACUGCUGAGUCAGAAUGUACACAGAGUACUCAGCAUCAGAGGAGACCUGCCACUUUCACCAAGUGUGUGUGUUCAGAAUCCUUGCUAACAAUUGGUGUUGUCAGGCUUUUAAAUUACAGUCAAUCUGAACCUGAGGACUCCAAAUUCCCAGGAGAUAGUGGAGCUGCGAGAUUUCUGGAGGCUGGAAAGUCCAAGAUCAAUGCACCAGCAUGUUAAUUUCUCAGUGAGUCUCUGCUUCCAAGAUGGUGCCUUCAAUACUGCAACCUCUAGAGGGAAGAAGAGAUGUGUCCUCACAUGGUAGAUGGCAGAAGGGC
This is a non-coding RNA of Callithrix jacchus (white-tufted-ear marmoset), 14413 nucleotides long. NCBI's taxonomy places the organism in Eukaryota, Metazoa, Chordata, Mammalia, Primates, Cebidae. The record is from RefSeq and is a predicted model, not a curated record.